UACGAAGGGUGCAAGCGUUACUCGGAAUUACUGGGCGUAAGCGUGCGUAGGUGGUGAGUUAAGUCUGAUGUGAAUCCCCGGGCUCAACCUGGGAAUGGCAUUGGAUACUGGCUCGCUAGAGUGCGGUAGAGGGUGGUGGAAUUCCCGGUGUAGCAGUGAAAUGCGUAGAGAUCGGGAGGAACAUCUGUGGCGAAGGCGACCACCUGGACCAACACUGACACUGAGGCACGAAAGCGUGGGGAGCAAACAGG
This 251-nucleotide ribosomal RNA is filed under the name uncultured bacterium. Its description in RNAcentral is "partial 16S ribosomal RNA". It matches the Rfam family "Bacterial small subunit ribosomal RNA", at positions 524 to 776 of the family's 1533-position model. The record is from RNAcentral.